GAACAGCUGCUUCUGUUACCUUUGCUGGUUCCUCUCCAUGACCUCUCAGCCCAGGGACAGCAAGUUAAACUCAGUCUGAAGUGAGAGGGAUUUCCUAGUCAUUAACUGACUUGUUAUCCUGGUGAGAGAAGGUUGUCAGAGCAUCAGGCACAUGGUGACUCCAUGAGCAGAAUAGAGUGACAUCAGAAUGGCAGCUUGGGAAAAGCAACCUCUGUUGAGAGUUUGCUUUUGAAGGCACUUGGUUGAGGUGCUGCUGCUCUGAAGAAAAAAAGGCACCAGGGUUAUCACAACCCAGUUUCUAAUGAGAUGUCAUGAUUUCCAAUGAAGAGUGGCCCCACCCAGCUCCAUGGUAUCAGAUGGUCUCUCUCCUGGGGGGCUGAAAUCUCUGCCACCCUUAUUCUCUGCCUGUGUCUGAGGCUGCAGUGGGCUAGGUGUGUAUGGGUGUGCCCUUACACCUGUGGAUGCAUGCUGGUGAGUGGGUGCUUGGGGCCAGUGUGUCAGUUCAAGUGCCCUUUUAGAUAGGCCGCACCAUACUCAAUACAUCCAUGAACAGCUGGAUCCCAGAGAAGAGACAGAAGAGAGAUGGUCCUCACCACCUCCACCCCAACUAGGAGUGAUUGAAAGAGGAAACACCUCUUGAAGAUGCAGAGGGAGAACAAGUCUGAUGCUUGCACUGGAAAGAUGCAAGGGAUAGAGAAAAAGCCUGCUCUCUGAUCUAGAAGCUACUAGAUGGGGCCAGCCAAAGACAGCAGCAAGUCACUGGGCUCCCAUCAAAAAGAUCCUAGAAAAGGAAGAAUGAAAGAGGAUUGGACAUCAGGGCCUGCUGGGGGAAGGUGAAUCAGGGAGCUGAGAUA
Mauremys mutica (yellowpond turtle) is the source of this 854-nucleotide long non-coding RNA. RefSeq lists it as uncharacterized. The record is from RefSeq and is a predicted model, not a curated record. NCBI's taxonomy places the organism in Eukaryota, Metazoa, Chordata, Testudines, Geoemydidae. The transcript is spliced from 5 exons.